CCAGGUCCGCUUCCUGGUGCAACUCGACUUCCAGGACAAGCGCUCCGUAGUUUCUACGCUCCAGGUCCGCUACCUGGUGAAACUCGACUUCCAGAACAAGCGCUCCGUGGUUCCUGCUCUCCAGGUCCGCUAUCUGGUGAAAUUCGACUUCCAGGACAAGCGCCUCGUAGUUUCUACGCUCCAGGUCCGGUUCCUGGUGAAACUUGACUUCUAGGACAUGCGCUCCAUGAUUCCGGCGCUUGAGGUCGACCACCUGGUGAAACUCGACUUCCAGGACAAGCGCUCAUUUAUUAGUAUUCGACGUAUAGCCCGAAGUGGUUAGCGUUGGUCGUUGGAGGUGGUAGGCGGUGGUUGCGGCUGAUCGAGGUGGACGAGGAGAAGGAUGUCGAGGAAGAGGAGGAGACGAAGUGGACGAGGAGGACGAGGAUUUGUGCACGGUACAAUCCGCAGUGGUUAUCGGUGGUUGUUGGAGGUGGUUGCCGGUGGUUGGAGGUGGUCGGAGGUGGACGAGGAGGAGGACGAUGAGGACGAUGAUUUGUGUUCGGUGUAACCCGAGGUGGUUAUCGGUAGUUGUUGGAGGUGAUCAGAGGUGGACGAGGAGGAGGACGUGGAAGACGAGGAAAACAAGGUCUACGAGGAGGACGAGGAUUUGUGCUUGAUGAGUUUAACAUUUUUAUAAUAUUUGAUGCAGUAGGAGUAGGAUCAGAAGUGAAUGCAGACAGCAUCAUGUCGAAAUCGUCAACUCUAUGAUGUUCUGCAAUAAGUUCUCAACUCUACCGUUGGAACAUCUCUGGGGGCGCAAGCGCACGACGAUUUUCGGUUGUCACACCAAAACCCAUAAGGGGCAACUGUCUUUAUAUUCUUCUGUCACGCGUGAAGAAAUCGAUCCUGAAAAUGAUGGUGACGCCUGUUCGAUGUCAGCUGGUGACAAAAAUGUGUGGCGGGUAACCUAACAUUAGGGUUUGACUUUUAGGCCGCAUAGAUAGUGAAUUUUGUGGCGUGUGUGAUUGAAAAUGAUUAAUACAUUUUAUAAGUCUGUAGGUAUGAAACAAAAUUUCAUGCCAUCAAUUUAAAUAUCUAGAUUUGCACCGGUAAAUAGUGUUUGCGUCCGAAUUCUACAACCAUCCAUCGGGUGUCAGUAUGGAACGUAACUUGUAUAAUACAGUGAACUGUAAUAUAUAACAGUCGAGGUCACAUAGCAAUGCAAAAGGAUGAUUGAAUAUUAAAUAAUAAAUCUGAAUAUUACGUCAGAAAUAAAAAGUGCAACGAAUAUUAUCUGAUGCUAAAAAUGAGGGAUAUUGUGUAAUGCAGUGAUUAUCGUAAAUUGGAGGUAUUACUCAAGUAAUGACCUGCGUACAGGUGCAAUGCUCUUUCGCAGAACAUAACAUGAAUGAUACUCUAUCAUUAGUACUUGAUGCAAACUGGAUUAAAAUGAAUAAAUGAUUGAAAAUUUG
Molecule: long non-coding RNA, 1454 nt
Filed under: Neodiprion pinetum (white pine sawfly)
Lineage: Eukaryota; Metazoa; Arthropoda; Insecta; Hymenoptera; Diprionidae
Description: uncharacterized LOC124216884
Source: RNAcentral